UACGUAGGGGGCAAGCGUUAUCCGGAUUUACUGGGUGUAAAGGGGGCGCAGACGGCGAUGCAAGCCAGGAGUGAAAGCCCGGGGCCCAACCCCGGGACUGCUCUUGGAACUGCGUGGCUGGAGUGCAGGAGGGGCAGGCGGAAUUCCUGGUGUAGCGGUGAAAUGCGUAGAUAUCAGGAGGAACACCGGUGGCGAAGGCGGCCUGCUGGACUGCAACUGACGUUGAGGACCGAAAGCGUGGGGAGCAAACAGG
RNAcentral lists this ribosomal RNA (253 nucleotides) under uncultured bacterium. RNAcentral describes it as "partial 16S ribosomal RNA". It matches the Rfam family "Bacterial small subunit ribosomal RNA", at positions 524 to 776 of the family's 1533-position model. The record is from RNAcentral.